Long non-coding RNA from Paramacrobiotus metropolitanus, 352 nucleotides. RefSeq lists it as uncharacterized. The record is from RefSeq and is a predicted model, not a curated record. The transcript has 3 exons. Lineage: Eukaryota; Metazoa; Tardigrada; Eutardigrada; Parachela; Macrobiotidae.
GCAGGCGGUGGGGUUGCCACUGCGACAGAGGGUGUUUAGCACCCGAGACCAUAUGGCUCUGUUGUGUAGAAUUUGUAAGGGUAGUCUUUUUUGUAGAAGCAGUAGUUUAGCCAUAUGUGUCCUGUCAAGGACGAUUUUCGGGUUGGGUGUUUCGAUAUAAAUGAGGCCGCUUUUAAAGUUCUCUGACGAAAUGAUUUUGGAUUGGAAGUUAUCGGAUGGGGGAGUAAGGUGGAGAGUGAUUUGGAGUGCCCGGGAAGAGGUGUUUGAAGGGAUUUUGGCAGAUUUGUGACAAUUUCAGACUGUCAAAAAAAGUUGGAAAUGAGUGAUUUGGAUAGGCAGAAGUUAAAAUGAA